CAGCAUUGUCUUUCCUUUCUAGACAGAAUGGCAUUAAAAUCACCUGCAAUGAUCCAGGGCUCAGUAAUACCAACAGAUAAAUUCAGAAUAGACUUCCACAGCAUCCUCCUCUGAUCACAGUCAUUAAAACCAUAUACUACUGUAAGCCAGCAGAUAGUAUCACCAAUGAUAGUUUGAACCUUACAAUGAAUGAGCUGAGCUUCCUCAAGAAAUCCAGUGACCAACACUUUUGUAGGGUCCCAUAGGAUCCAUAUUCUACCAUUUACUGCUCCACUGUAGUUAGUAAUCAUGUUCCAGUUAGGCAACAAAAAACUAUAUUCUACCAUUUACUGCUCCACUGUAGUUAGUAAUCAUUUUCCAGUUAGGCAACAAAAAACUAGCUAUUCUACCAUCAUUGUGUUGUUUAACCUUAGUCUCUACAAGUCCUACUAGGUCAAACUUAUUAGUUCUAAAGAAAUUUCUAGCUUCUUUUUGUUUGAACCUUUUAUUUACAC
RNAcentral lists this long non-coding RNA (494 nucleotides) under Nicotiana benthamiana. RNAcentral describes it as "long non-coding RNA (NBEN_LNC009494)". Lineage: Eukaryota; Viridiplantae; Streptophyta; Magnoliopsida; Solanales; Solanaceae. The record is from RNAcentral.